UGGGGAAUAUUGCACAAUGGGCGCAAGCCUGAUGCAGCAACGCCGCGUGAACGAUGAAGGUCUUCGGAUCGUAAAGUUCUGUUGCAGGGGAAGAUAAUGACGGUACCCUGUGAGGAAGCCCCGGCUAACUACGUGCCAGCAGCCGCGGUAAUACGUAGGGGGCUAGCGUUAUCCGGAUUUACUGGGCGUAAAGGGUGCGUAGGUGGUCUUUCAAGUCGGUGGUUAAAGGCUACGGCUCAACCGUAGUUAGCCUCCGAAACUGGAAGACUUGAGUGCAGGAGAGGAAAGUGGAAUUCCCAGUGUAGCGGUGAAAUGCGUAGAUAUUGGGAGGAACACCAGUAGCGAAGGCGGCUUUCUGGACUGCAACUGACACUGAGGCAUGAAAGCGUGGGUAGCAAACAGG
Molecule: ribosomal RNA, 403 nt
Filed under: Verrucomicrobiota bacterium
Lineage: Bacteria; Pseudomonadati; Verrucomicrobiota
Description: Verrucomicrobia bacterium partial 16S ribosomal RNA
Rfam family: Bacterial small subunit ribosomal RNA
Source: RNAcentral